Molecule: ribosomal RNA, 254 nt
Filed under: uncultured bacterium
Lineage: Bacteria
Description: partial 16S ribosomal RNA
Rfam family: Bacterial small subunit ribosomal RNA
Source: RNAcentral
GACGUAGGGCGCGAGCGUUGUCCGGAUUUAUUGGGCGUAAAGAGCUCGUAGGCGGCUUGUCGCGUCGACUGUGAAAACCCGUGGCUCAACCAUGUGGUCUGCAGUCGAUACGGGCAGGCUAGAAUUCGGUAGGGGAGACUGGAAUUCCUGGUGUAGCGGUGAAAUGCGCAGAUAUCAGGAGGAACACCUAUGGCGAAGGCAGCUCUCUGGGACGGUACUGACGCUGAGACGCGAAAGCGUGGGGAGCGAACAGG